RNAcentral lists this ribosomal RNA (492 nucleotides) under uncultured bacterium. Its description in RNAcentral is "partial 16S ribosomal RNA". It matches the Rfam family "Bacterial small subunit ribosomal RNA", at positions 29 to 507 of the family's 1533-position model. The record is from RNAcentral.
AGUGAACGCUGGCGGUAGGCCUAACACAUGCAAGUCGAACGGCAGCACAGUAAGAGCUUGCUCUUACGGGUGGCGAGUGGCGGACGGGUGAGGAAUACAUCGGAAUCUACUUUUUCGUGGGGGACAACGUAAGGAAACUUACGCUAAUACCGCAUACGACCUACGGCUGAAAGCAGGGGAGCUUCGGACCUUGCGCGACUGAAUGAGCCGAUGUCGGAUUAGCUAGUUGGCGGGGUAAAGGCCCACCAAGGCUACGAUCCGUAGCUGGUCUGAGAGGAUGAUCAGCCACACUGGAACUGAGACACGGUCCAGACUCCUACGGGAGGCAGCAGUGGGGAAUAUUGGGCAAUGGGCGCAAGCCUGAUCCAGCCAUGCCGCGUGGGUGAAGAAGGCCUUCGGGUUGUAAAGCCCUUUUGUUGGGAAAGAACAGCAGCAGGUUAAUCCCCCGCUGUUCUGACGGUACCCAAAGAGUAAGCCCCGGCUAACUUCGUG